This 450-nucleotide ribosomal RNA is filed under the name uncultured bacterium. RNAcentral describes it as "partial 16S ribosomal RNA". It matches the Rfam family "Bacterial small subunit ribosomal RNA", at positions 354 to 796 of the family's 1533-position model. The record is from RNAcentral.
UUGGGGAAUCUUCCACAAUGGACGAAAGUCUGAUGGAGCAACGCCGCGUGAGUGAAGAAGGGUUUCGGCUCGUAAAGCUCUGUUGUCGGGGACGAAUGUGCAGUAUUUGAAUAAAGUACUGCAAUGACGGUACCUGACGAGGAAGCCACGGCUAACUACGUGCCAGCAGCCGCGGUAAUACGUAGGUGGCAAGCGUUGUCCGGAAUUAUUGGGCGUAAAGGGAGCGCAGGCGGGAAGGUAAGUCGGUCUUAAAAGUGCGGGGCUCAACCCCGUGAUGGGAUCAAAACUAUCUUUCUUGAGUGCAGGAGAGGAAAGUGGAAUUCCUAGUGUAGCGGUGAAAUGCGUAGAUAUUAGGAGGAACACCAGUGGCGAAGGCGACUUUCUGGACUGUAACUGACGCUGAGGCUCGAAAGCCAGGGGAGCGAACGGGAUUAGAUACCCGAGUAGUCC